This 18-nucleotide transfer RNA is filed under the name Artocarpus dadah. RNAcentral's name for it is "partial tRNA-Phe". Lineage: Eukaryota; Viridiplantae; Streptophyta; Magnoliopsida; Rosales; Moraceae. The record is from RNAcentral.
GUCGGGAUAGCUCAGCUC